RNAcentral lists this ribosomal RNA (439 nucleotides) under Felis catus (domestic cat). RNAcentral describes it as "partial small subunit ribosomal RNA". It matches the Rfam family "Bacterial small subunit ribosomal RNA", at positions 769 to 1404 of the family's 1533-position model. Lineage: Eukaryota; Metazoa; Chordata; Mammalia; Carnivora; Felidae. The record is from RNAcentral.
AAACUGGGAUUAGAUACCCCACUAUGCUUAGCCCUAAACUUAGAUAGUUACCCUAAACAAAACUAUCCGCCAGAGAACUACUAGCAAUAGCUUAAAACUCAAAGGACUUGGCGGUGCUUUACAUCCCUCUAGAGGAGCCUGUUCUAUAAUCGAUAAACCCCGAUAUACCUCACCAUCUCUUGCUAAUUCAGCCUAUAUACCGCCAUCUUCAGCAAACCCUAAAAAGGAAGAAAAGUAAGCACAAGUAUCUUAACAUAAAAAAGUUAGGUCAAGGUGUAGCUCAUGAGAUGGGAAGCAAUGGGCUACAUUUUCUAAAAUUAGAACACCCACGAAGAUCCUUACGAAACUAAGUAUUAAAGGAGGAUUUAGUAGUAAAUUUGAGAAUAGAGAGCUCAAUUGAAUCGGGCCAUGAAGCACGCACACACCGCCCGUCACCCUC